Molecule: non-coding RNA, 28 nt
Filed under: Mus musculus (house mouse)
Lineage: Eukaryota; Metazoa; Chordata; Mammalia; Rodentia; Muridae
Source: RNAcentral
UGGUGAUCAUUUGAUAGAAAUGUCUUUC